UUACUAUAUUGAUGUGCUCUUUUGUUCCACCAAAAGCUUGACCGAAACUCUGAGAUUUUUCCAACAUAUUAUAGUUCCAGCAAUCCAAACUCAAUGCCGUGGUGUCACACUGACAGAAAACAUUAUCCGGUUAGAAUGUGUUAAAAAUCUUACUCAUCCAAGAUACAGAAAAACACAAGCCAUACCUAUACAACAAUUGAAGCAGGCAAUGCUCUCGGUCCCUGCAGAAAGUAUGUAUAAUUACCAGCACACCUGGGGCUCAGUCUCAGAUUCAGGGAGAACUGUUUUAAGAGAAUC
Molecule: long non-coding RNA, 297 nt
Filed under: Daucus carota (carrot)
Lineage: Eukaryota; Viridiplantae; Streptophyta; Magnoliopsida; Apiales; Apiaceae
Description: long non-coding RNA (DCAR_LNC003364)
Source: RNAcentral